GAUGAACGCUAGCGGCAGGCCUAAUACAUGCAAGUCGAACGGUAACAUUCUCGCUUGCGAGAGAUGACGAGUGGCGCACGGGUGCGUAACGCGUAUGCAACCUACCCUUUACUGAGGGAUAGCCCGGAGAAAUUCGGAUUAAUACCUCAUGGUAUCAUCAGAUGGCAUCUGAAGAUGAUUAAAGAUUUAUCGGUAAAGGAUGGGCAUGCGUGACAUUAGCUAGUUGGUGAGGUAACGGCUCACCAAGGCAACGAUGUCUAGGGGUUCUGAGAGGAUGAUCCCCCACACUGGUACUGAAGACACGGACCAG
Molecule: ribosomal RNA, 310 nt
Filed under: uncultured bacterium
Lineage: Bacteria
Description: bacterial SSU rRNA
Rfam family: Bacterial small subunit ribosomal RNA
Source: RNAcentral